Myxocyprinus asiaticus (Chinese sucker) is the source of this 1076-nucleotide long non-coding RNA. RefSeq lists it as uncharacterized. The transcript has 3 exons. Lineage: Eukaryota; Metazoa; Chordata; Actinopteri; Cypriniformes; Catostomidae. The record is from RefSeq and is a predicted model, not a curated record.
UCUUUUGUCAUUCUGAAGAUGAUCCGUUUAAAAUUUGUGCUAAAGUGAUAUUCUAUCCACUACAUCAUAUUUCUGUUCCUACAAAUAUACAAAAUCUGACAGGUGGAUAAAAUCCUUGCAUCUGGUUGAAUGGUUCCUCUUUUUCAGAUGACAUGUUGAUUCUCUGGUCAUGUUAUGUUUUCCUCACAUAUCUAUCACUCUACCUUUCCUUCAACUUCCUGCAAACUUUACUCACACUGGACAGUGAAAAGCAAAGGGUAACUGCAAGAAUUCGCAGAAAGAGACGGCGGAGGGGAAGAUCAAAGCUGUCCACCAGAAUUAGUAUUCAACGCAAGAGCACGCGCUAGAGGCUGAGAUACACUUGAUGGAUCUGCUAUGAAAAUCAUCUGGCCAUCGGCCCAAGAAUGGUGACGUAGUGAUCACGGUCAGAGCGAGACUGCUCAUGUAAAAAUCCCAGAGCGUGCAUUAGCUCAUGAGAUGCCACCCCAGACCACAUACAGCCAGGAGACUGCAAAGACAUAAUCUGACUCCCUCCUAUCAUUCCCAGAUAUGACCAGCAACUGAGCAAAAAAAAAAAAUCAUUCCAAAUGCGUAUGACCUUUUUUCUUCAGUGAAAAACUAGAGAUGUUACACAUAAUCAGAAAGUAAUGUGUUAAUCACUUCAAACAAUGCAUCAUGAUUGGAUUGUGUCUGAAUUACAUGAAUGGAAUGGACUCACCCAGAUCUAGACUGGAUAUUAAGGAAGUUUGCUUGAUGUGUGCGAGGCACAAACUUCACACAUGUGCUAGAAGAAAUGUCCAACAUUCCUGUUUCUAUCGUGAUUCUGUCCAUAUCAUCUGUGAUGGGUAAUUCAAACCAGAUAAAUAAUGUUAUGAUGAUACCAAAGAUAAACAAAGACCUUGUUUUUAAGUUUGACAGAUAAUUGCAUUGAUAAAGAUUUCUGGAGUGAUAACUCACCAUAUUGUUGGGAGAGGAUGUACGGUACAUACACAAAACCAUCAACAGAUUUUGGCCAGAGGCAAGAAUCUCCUGAACAGGUGAUGGCACUGCGUGCUCCUGGACUCACUAUGUCACCU